CCUUAAGACAAUGAAGCAAUAGUAGGACUGAUGAAAAGGCAAAGACAAUGCCUUUCUAACUGGGACACGACAUUAUAUACUAUGUUCUGGGGACUUGGUUCAGACAUAAAAAGUCUGCAAGCAGCGACUCGAAUACAGGGGUUUCAGACUACGGUCUUGGACAAUUAGGAGAAUAAAAAAGGAUAAAACAGGAUCAUUGCAUUGAAAAUGCAUCGUCUCUCCAAUGAUUGCUGGAUAGAAAUGGUGUCGAAAGGUGUCUACAUUUUCUGCAGUCCAUUGAAAUUCGAUCUCAUUGCAACUUUUUAACUCUUCUAAUGUUGUGUUCAAGAGCUGGUUGUAUGAUCUGUUUCAAAUAAAAUAUGGAAUAUUU
This is a long non-coding RNA of Saccostrea echinata, 370 nucleotides long. RefSeq lists it as uncharacterized. Lineage: Eukaryota; Metazoa; Mollusca; Bivalvia; Ostreida; Ostreidae. The transcript has 3 exons. The record is from RefSeq and is a predicted model, not a curated record.